UUUGUUCUUCUGCUCGUCCUCGUUGUUGCUGCUGUCUUGUGUUGCUUCUAUAAACGUAUGGAAAUUGCAAGAUUCAUACUACGGGAAGAAGGCGGCACACGAGGCAAGAGGCAAAAGGUUCCAACGACUUAAUUCCUGACGCAGCCGUUAGUGAAAAUAGGCAGUAUUCCUGGUGCUUUACAUUUUGAUGUCAUUGACAUUGGUUUUAAAAAUAGCCAAUUUCUCAAUUCAGAUAUUUAAAGUUAUUGUUGCCAAAUAUUACAACUGAACAGCUAGUAGUAUUAUCAAAAAAAGAAUGUCAAAAAUGAACCUGAAGGUUAAGAGCUUUUCUGAA
Labrus bergylta (ballan wrasse) is the source of this 334-nucleotide non-coding RNA. NCBI's taxonomy places the organism in Eukaryota, Metazoa, Chordata, Actinopteri, Labriformes, Labridae. The record is from RefSeq and is a predicted model, not a curated record.